Long non-coding RNA from Neofelis nebulosa (Clouded leopard), 1204 nucleotides. RefSeq lists it as uncharacterized. The transcript has 3 exons. NCBI's taxonomy places the organism in Eukaryota, Metazoa, Chordata, Mammalia, Carnivora, Felidae. The record is from RefSeq and is a predicted model, not a curated record.
CACUUAGCUGACUGAGCUACCCACGUGCCCCUCCAAUACAUGAAAAUUUAAGUUUCAGAAUUUAUGAAGUUGAAACUCAGAUCGAUCUACCUUAUUUCAAGAUGGUGACACUUGAGAAGUCUUCAUGAACAAGCCCCCUGUCAGUAGACUAAGUUCCUUGGAGGAUUCCUUUCUUUCCUAUGUAGUCGCUCCUCCAUGCCUGGCCAGUAACAGGCACUCAAUAUUUGCCAAAGGGAAGAAGAAUCAUCACUGGGAACCAGUCAGAAAAGAGAUUAUCAGAAAUUUAAGGUGAGAAAAUAAAUCUUACAUAAUGGCAUUGAUCCAGAUGUUAGAAGAAAAUAAUGAAAUUUCUCUGUCUAUAUAAAUAGUACAAAGCAAAUAUGUGACUAAAAAGUUCGACACCCAUACUAAACCCACGCAGGAGUGAACGGAGUCCCAGCGCUCCAGGAGCUGACAGCUGGGGAUACGCACACAGGUAGCCACAACAAGGUGGAACACAGGAAAGCAGGGCGCUGCACUUGUCCCUGGCCUAUCUCUGGGAACAUCAGAGGCUCUGUGAAGGAAGGCCGUGCCUGAGAUGGGCUUUAAAGUAUGAGCAAAAUUCCAACCAGCAGAUGUGGGCAGUUAGACACGAAGGAGCACCUCGAGAAGAGCGGGGAAGCAGGCCGUUUCUAGGGAAGCAGGCCGUUUCUGGGGAAGCAGUGAGUGGGCUGGCUGGAGCACUGAUGAAGCACAACACAGGAACCGGGAGCCACGCAGGCAGGUGGAAAGAGCUCAGAUCACAGGAGGGUCUGAGCCUCAACACGGAGUCUGGAUUAAUGGUUUGUUCAAGAUGUUGGUAGGAAUGACUGACCUGAGGGGCCCACAGGCGGCACGACAUGGUGUGCAGGAUGAGUUCCACCAGUGAAGUGACAGGUGUGGGAGGCCGGUCACAAUGCAGAUGCGACUCUGACGACUGCCCAGGCAAAGUGGUAAACACAUGAUAAUCUCGUUUCACAACCACCAAUGCGUUUGCACAAGCGCCUGUUAGGCCCAGUGGCUCCACGUGACAAAACGGGAAGCAACCCAAGCCUCUGUGGGCAGACCAAAUGGACGGUCCACAGAAUAUUACGCAGCCUUUAAAAAGGAGGGAAACUGACACAACAUUACAACAUGGAUGAACCCUGAAGACCUUAGGCUGAGAUAAGCCAGCCUAAAACCCGUA